RNAcentral lists this ribosomal RNA (426 nucleotides) under uncultured bacterium. RNAcentral's name for it is "bacterial SSU rRNA". It matches the Rfam family "Bacterial small subunit ribosomal RNA", at positions 356 to 773 of the family's 1533-position model. The record is from RNAcentral.
AGGGAAUCUUCCGCAAUGGACGAAAGUCUGACGGAGCAACGCCGCGUGAGUGAAGAAGGCCUUCGGGUCGUAAAACUCUGUUGUCGGGGAAGAACAAGUGCCGUUCGAACAGGGCGGCGCCUUGACGGUACCCGGCCAGAAAGCCACGGCUAACUACGUGCCAGCAGCCGCGGUAAUACGCAGGUGGCAAGCGUUGUCCGGAAUUAUUGGGCGUAAAGCGCGCGCAGGCGGCUUCUUAAGUCUGAUGUGAAAUCUUGCGGCUCAACCGCAAGCGGUCAUUGGAAACUGGGAGGCUUGAGUGCAGAAGAGGAGAGUGGAAUUCCACGUGUAGCGGUGAAAUGCGUAGAGAGGUGGAGGAACACCAGUGGCGAAGGCGACUCUCUGGGCUGUAACUGACGCUGAGGCGCGAAAGCGUGGGGAGCAAAC